AUACGGAGGGUGCAAGCGUUGUUCGGAAUUACUGGGCGUAAAGGACGCGUAGGCGGGUUUGUAAGUCAGGUGUGAAAUCCUACAGCUCAACUGUAGAACUGCACUUGAAACUACAGACCUAGAGUAUGGAAGGGGCAGAUGGAAUUAGUGGUGUAGGGGUAAAAUCCGUAGAUAUCACUAGGAAUACCGAAAGCGAAGGCGAUCUGCUGGGACAUUACUGACGCUGAGGCGUGAAAGCGUGGGGAGCAAACAGGAUUAGAAACCCCAGUAGUCC
This 274-nucleotide ribosomal RNA is filed under the name uncultured bacterium. RNAcentral describes it as "partial 16S ribosomal RNA". It matches the Rfam family "Bacterial small subunit ribosomal RNA", at positions 523 to 796 of the family's 1533-position model. The record is from RNAcentral.